AAAAUGCGAUACGUAAUGCGAAUUGCAGAAUUCAGUGAAUCAUCAAAUCUUUGAACGCAAAUUGCGCUCUCGGGAUAGGCCUGGGAGCACGCCUCUUUGAGUAUCGUUUCAACCACAACUCGAAAACGUGCUUACUGCGCGUUGACGGAUAUUGAGCGAUCUCGAGACAUCGAGACGCUUUAAAUGAAGCGAGUGACACGAUUUCAGACUUGAACGGUCUCUGUCUCGAGUGACGAGGAUAACUUCACAUUCAUUUGUGAACCCUUCCAUCGUGACUUUUGAGUCGGGGCUUGUUUCGUGGUCAGUGAUCAAUGUGCCACGGAACUCUGCACCUCGUCUCUUGCGACGAAUGCGGAAUCCUUUUGAACUAGAUCUCAAAUGAAGCGAGAAAACCCGCUGA
This 400-nucleotide unclassified non-coding RNA is filed under the name uncultured fungus. Its description in RNAcentral is "sequence contains ITS1". The stretch from base 1 to 106 matches the Rfam family "5.8S ribosomal RNA", at positions 50 to 154 of the family's 154-position model. Lineage: Eukaryota; Fungi. The record is from RNAcentral.